CCGUCCAUUCCGCCAACUUUUGUAAUCUUUUCAGGUUAUACAUAUUAGUAGGGGCGUAGUUCAAUUGGUAGAGCACC
This 77-nucleotide transfer RNA is filed under the name Aggregatibacter actinomycetemcomitans NUM4039. RNAcentral describes it as "tRNA-Asp". Lineage: Bacteria; Pseudomonadati; Pseudomonadota; Gammaproteobacteria; Pasteurellales; Pasteurellaceae. The record is from RNAcentral.